CAGUCAUGCUAGUGAAAAAUCAGUUUGACGGGUUUUGAGUUCGGGAGUAGAGGCAGGGUCAAACCGUUUCUCUUUUGGACUUGGGAUUUGUCGGAUGUACUUUUUCUUUGGCAGGUCAGCGUCGGUUUCGGAGGUUGUAAAAUACUUGGGGGAAAGUAGCUCUGCUUCGGGAGAAGUAUUAUAGACCCUGGGGGAUGCAGCCUGUGGGAUCGAGGAUUGCAGCAAAUGCCUUUGGCUUGUCGCCUGAUCUCUGGAUGUUACCUUGCUUGUGACAACAUUCUUGCCACUGGUGAGUACUGAUGCCCAUUAGGUUAGAACGAUCAAAAAUCGUUAAGGAUGUUGACGUA
Molecule: ribosomal RNA, 347 nt
Filed under: uncultured Glomeromycotina
Lineage: Eukaryota; Fungi; Glomeromycota
Description: LSU rRNA
Source: RNAcentral